GUCUCUUUGUAUUGAAUAUAUUAAAUAUAAAGAGUCGGACCUGCCCGGUGACUAUAUUGUUAAACGGCCGCGGUACCCUAACCGUGCAAAGGUAGCAUAAUCAUUUGCCUUUUAAUUGGAGGCUGGUAUGAAUGGUUUGACGAGAGCUAAGCUGUCUCUUUUAAAAUAUAUAAAAAUUAACUUUUAGGUGAAGAGGCCUAAAUUUAUUUAAGGGACAAGAAGACCCUGUUGAGCUUUAGUAAAAUUAUAAAUAUUUAAUGUUUAGGUGACUUUAGUGUAUACUAGUGUACAGCGGUAUUUUAUAAUUAAUCUUUAGUUGGGGCGACUGAGGAACAUAUAAAGCUUCCUUGUGAUAAAUCAAUAGAUUCAGUAGGGAUUGUUUUAAUGCUAUCAUGUUAUUUUGAUCCAGAUUGUUUUGAUUAAAGGAAAAAGUUACCACAGGGAUAACAGCGUAAUCUUUCUGGAGAGAUCUUAUCGAAAGAAGGGUUUGCGACCUCG
Molecule: ribosomal RNA, 498 nt
Filed under: Cantharidus dilatatus
Lineage: Eukaryota; Metazoa; Mollusca; Gastropoda; Trochida; Trochidae
Description: partial 16S ribosomal RNA
Rfam family: Bacterial large subunit ribosomal RNA
Source: RNAcentral